CACACAAAUUUAUUAUCUAUUCAAAGUUUCAUAAAAAAAUUAGGAGGUCAAAAAAUGGCUGUUGUUUACCAAAAAACGCAUUGGUUCUUGGCCAUCUCCUUCUUGUUCUGCUUCUUCUUGAUCACUUGUCAAGCAAGAAAUUUGCGAGUGGACCGUUAUGAAGCUCAAAAGAGUGACCAACAACAAGUUGUUGUAAGGAAUAAAGAGCAAUCAAAGUAUGAAGACUCAGUAGCAAUAGACUUAGAUUAUACUCCUGCUAGAAAGAAACCUCCUAUUCAUAAUUAAGAAAAUUUAUACAAACUUGGAGGUUUUAUCCCAUGGGGAAUCCAAAAUUUGGAGUCAGCCAUCAGUGAGUUCUACUUUUUAUACAAGUGUUGUUUUUGUAAACACAUAUAGCCCGAGUUAGACGCAGUAAAUUCUAUCAAACUCGUUGUGUCUGGUCUAGAUCCUGAAUGUCAUAAGUUUUAUCAUGUACUACUUUUGUUUCCAAAAUAUACUUUGUAACUUGGAGGUAAGAAAAACUAAUAAUUAAAAAGAAUUGGGAGAGUAUAAUCAUAGAGGGUAUUUAAGGAGAUAUAUGGGAGAAGGAUUUUUGAGAAAUUUGAAUAUAUCGAAUUAAUGUUGAUGAGACUUGUAUACAUAUACACCUUUAUGAAGAUAUAUAAAGCUUCAAAUGAUAAUUCUGAGAGA
Long non-coding RNA from Lycium barbarum (goji berry), 690 nucleotides. RefSeq lists it as uncharacterized. Lineage: Eukaryota; Viridiplantae; Streptophyta; Magnoliopsida; Solanales; Solanaceae. The record is from RefSeq and is a predicted model, not a curated record. The transcript has 2 exons.